GAUGAACGCUAGCGGCAGGCUUAAUACAUGCAAGUCGAGGGGUAACAUGGUAGCAAUACUGAUGACGACCGGCAAACGGGUGCGGAACACGUACAGAACCUUCCUUUAAGCGGGGGAUAGCCCAUAGAAAUGUGGAUUAAUACCCCAUAGCAAUAUUUAAUGGCAUCAUUAGAUAUUUAAAGAUUUAUCACUUAAAGAUGGCUGUGCGGCUGAUUAGGUAGUUGGGCGGGUAACGGCCCACCAAGCCAUCGAUCAGUAACUGGUGUGAGAGCACGACCAGUCACACGGGCACUGAGACA
RNAcentral lists this ribosomal RNA (299 nucleotides) under uncultured bacterium. RNAcentral's name for it is "partial 16S ribosomal RNA". It matches the Rfam family "Bacterial small subunit ribosomal RNA", at positions 28 to 326 of the family's 1533-position model. The record is from RNAcentral.